UGGCACACGAGUGUAAUCCCAGCUACUCGGGAGGUUAAGGCAGGGGAAUCCCUUGAGCCUGGGAGGCAGAGGUUGCAGUGAGCUGAGACUGCACCACUGCAAUCCAGCCAGAGUGCGACUCUGUCCCCCAAAAAUUAAGAGUACAAAUUGAGAGAGUAAUUGUGAACAGAGGGUUAGGGAAGAUUUGGGAGAAUCACAGUAUGUAGUGUUUUCCUGAGUUGAUAGCUCUUUUUUUUAUUUUUUAUUUUUUUGAGAUAGAGUCUCACUCUUUUGCCAGGCUGGAGUGCAGUGGUGUGAUCUUGGAUCACUGCAACCUCUGCCUCCUGGAUUCAAGUGAUUCUCCUGCCUCAGCCUCCCAUGUAGCUGGGACUACAGGUGUGCAACACCACACCCAGCUAAUUUUUGUAUUUUUAGUAGAGAUGGGGUUUCGCCAUGUUAGCAAGGAUGGACUCAAUCUCUCGGCCUCAUGUUCCGCCUGCCUCAGCCUCCCAAAGUGCUGGAAUUACAGGCUUGAGCCACUGCGCCCGGCCCAUUUUUUUAAUUUAAAAGAAGUUUUGCUAUUUUCUGAGGCAUUUUUUGUAAAGUGCCCUAAGAAAACCAAGAAAUGUGCUAUUUUUUUCAGUGUGGUCCCUUCUAUAUUUAUUGUCUUAGCAAUUAUACAACUAGAUAUAAUGACCACAAAUAACCUUAAGAAGGAGCAUGAGUCAAAUUUAUUACAACUUAUUCCUUUCAAUGGAUGCUUUUAUAACUAGCAUAAACUUUCCCCAGUCCCUUGAGUUCUAGGCCCAGGCUAAUUUGGCUGCCACAUAAGACAAGGUCUUAUCUCCUUCCUAUUCAGCUGACUUCUACAAUCCAAAUCAGCUAUUAACUCAAAUCUAAGAGAAAAUGCCUUGAACCAAAGAAGAUGUGUGUUACAAAGUUUAAGUGUGACGCAUUAUCAAAGGUGAACGCAACCUUACUGAGGGGAAGCCCUUUGUAAAAUAACCCCGAUAAUUUAGCUACUUCACAUACUUUUCACAACCACUUCCAAUUCUUCGGUGGUUACUAUAGACAAUUUUGGAAAAUAAGAUAUUUGACCUGUAUUUAACUUAUCUGAA
Long non-coding RNA from Sapajus apella (tufted capuchin), 1097 nucleotides. RefSeq lists it as uncharacterized. The transcript has 2 exons. NCBI's taxonomy places the organism in Eukaryota, Metazoa, Chordata, Mammalia, Primates, Cebidae. The record is from RefSeq and is a predicted model, not a curated record.